CUUCGGAGGUCAGAGCUCGGCGGGGUGCGGCUAGUGGCGGAGCGCGCUGCGAGGGGAGGGCUUUCCACUGUCGCUGGCGUGAACUCGCGUGCCCGGCUUCACCAGGUACUGCCUUCUAACGAGCUGGCCAUUUCCACAUGUCAGAUAGGACCAACUUGCCUUUUAACUACCCGUGUGAUACUUAAACACUGUUGCCGGUAUCACAGCUUUUCUUCAAAACAGGAUCUUGCUCUGUCACCCAGGCUGGAGUACAGUAGCACCAUCACUGCUCACUGUAGCCUCGACCUGCUGGGCUCAAGUGAUCCUCCCAUCUCAGCCUCCUGAGUAGGGGACUACACACAGGCACCACCAUGAUCCGGUAUCACCAGUCUGUGGGUACAAAAGGAGAGUAACAUGAACGAUUCAAAUUCCACUGGCUCUUGUUCCCAUGGAUUCACAGAAGUUCAGCCCCAUUUCAAAACUUCACAUUUGCUUCUGGGAAGCCCAUUCUGGAAAGUUUCUCUGUGGCCCUCUCCAGAAGGCAGCGCGACUUCCACCCAGCAACACAAGUCUCUGCAGCACCUGCCCCAGCAGCGCCAGCUGAG
This 584-nucleotide long non-coding RNA is filed under the name Homo sapiens (human). Its description in RNAcentral is "non-protein coding APTR:22". The record is from RNAcentral. Lineage: Eukaryota; Metazoa; Chordata; Mammalia; Primates; Hominidae.